UACGUAGGGUGCGAGCGUUAAUCGGAAUUACUGGGCGUAAAGCGUGCGCAGGCGGUUCGUUGUGUCGGCGGUGAAAGCCCCGGGCUUAACCUGGGAAUGGCCGUCGAAACUGGCGAACUGGAGUGUGGCAGAGGGGGGUGGAAUUCCGCGUGUAGCAGUGAAAUGCGUAGAGAUGUGGAGGAAUACCGAUGGCGAAGGCAGCCUCCUGGGCCAACACUGACGCUCAUGCACGAAAGCGUGGGGAGCAAACAGG
Molecule: ribosomal RNA, 253 nt
Filed under: uncultured bacterium
Lineage: Bacteria
Description: partial 16S ribosomal RNA
Rfam family: Bacterial small subunit ribosomal RNA
Source: RNAcentral